UACGUAGGGGGCAAGCGUUAUCCGGAUUUACUGGGUGUAAAGGGGGCGCAGACGGCGAUGCAAGCCAGGAGUGAAAGCCCGGGGCCCAACCCCGGGACUACUCUUGGAACUGCGUGGCUGGAGUGCAGGAGGGGCAGGCGGAAUUCCUGGUGUAGCGGUGAAAUGCGUAGAUAUCAGGAGGAACACCGGUGGCGAAGGCGGCCUGCUGGACUGCAACUGACGUUGAGGCCCGAAAGCGUGGGGAGCAAACAGG
RNAcentral lists this ribosomal RNA (253 nucleotides) under uncultured bacterium. Its description in RNAcentral is "partial 16S ribosomal RNA". It matches the Rfam family "Bacterial small subunit ribosomal RNA", at positions 524 to 776 of the family's 1533-position model. The record is from RNAcentral.